Molecule: unclassified non-coding RNA, 166 nt
Filed under: fungal sp.
Lineage: Eukaryota; Fungi
Description: partial internal transcribed spacer region
Rfam family: Eukaryotic small subunit ribosomal RNA (bases 1-46)
Source: RNAcentral
AAGUCGUAACAAGGUUUCCGUAGGUGAACCUGCGGAAGGAUCAUUACAAGUCGAGUGGGGUGGGGAGCUUUUUCCCGACACCAUGUUUACCCGUUUGUUGGUUUGACAGAGUCAGAUGGUGACGGCAAUGCUUAGACAACUUUUAACAAUGGAUCUCUUGGCUCUU